AGUGAACGCUGGCGGUAGGCCUAACACAUGCAAGUCGAACGGCAGCACAGUAAGAGCUUGCUCUUACGGGUGGCGAGUGGCGGACGGGUGAGGAAUACAUCGGAAUCUACUUUUUCGUGGGGGAUAACGUAGGGAAACUUACGCUAAUACCGCAUACGACCUACGGGUGAAAGCAGGGGAUCUUCGGACCUUGUGCGAUUGAAUGAGCCGAUGUCGGAUUAGCUAGUUGGCGGGGUAAAGGCCCACCAAGGCGACGAUCCGUAGCUGGUCUGAGAGGAUGAUCAGCCACACUGGAACUGAGACACGGUCCAGACUCCUACGGGAGGCAGCAGUGGGGAAUAGUGGACAAUGGGCGCGAGCCUGAUCCAGCCAUACCGCGUGGGUGAAGAAGGCCUUCGGGUUGUAAAGCCCUUUUGUUGGGAAAGAAAAGCAGCAGGUUAAUACCCCGCUGUUCUGACGGUACCCAAAGAAUAAGCACCGGCUAACUUCGUG
RNAcentral lists this ribosomal RNA (492 nucleotides) under uncultured bacterium. Its description in RNAcentral is "partial 16S ribosomal RNA". It matches the Rfam family "Bacterial small subunit ribosomal RNA", at positions 29 to 507 of the family's 1533-position model. The record is from RNAcentral.